Crenichthys baileyi (White River springfish) is the source of this 75-nucleotide non-coding RNA. The record is from the annotation of a GenBank genome assembly. NCBI's taxonomy places the organism in Eukaryota, Metazoa, Chordata, Actinopteri, Cyprinodontiformes, Goodeidae.
GGCACGGUGGCGCAGUUGGUAGUACUGUUGCCUUGCAGGAAGAAGGUCCUGGGUUCGAUUCCCGUCCGGCGGUUU